Molecule: ribosomal RNA, 196 nt
Filed under: uncultured bacterium
Lineage: Bacteria
Description: partial 16S ribosomal RNA
Rfam family: Bacterial small subunit ribosomal RNA
Source: RNAcentral
GCAACUCGCCUGCGUGAAGUUGGAAUUGCUAGUAAUCGCGGAUCAGCAUGCCGCGGUGAAUACGUUCCCGGGCCUUGUACACACCGCCCGUCACACCAUGGGAGUCUGUAACACCCAAAGCCGGUGGGAUAACCUUUAUAGGAGUCAGCCGUCUAAGGUAGGACAGAUGAUUAGGGUGAAGUCGUAACAAGGUACC